AUUGAACGCUGGCGGCAGGCCUAAUACAUGCAAGUCGAGCGGAGCGGCGGACGGGUGAGUAAUGCCUAGGAAUCUGCCCGGUAGUGGGGGACAACGUCCGGAAACGGGCGCUCAUACCGCAUACUAUCAGAUGAGCCUCGGUGGGAUUAGCUAGUUGGUGGGGUAAAGGCCUACCAAGUCGACGAUCCGUAACUGGUCUGAGAGGAUGAUCAGUCACACUGGAAUUGAGACACGGUCCAGACUCCUACGGGAGGCAGCAGUGGGGAAGAUUGGACAAUGGGCGAAAGCCUGAUCCAGCCAUGCAGCGUGAGUGAAGAAGGUUUUCGGAUUGUAAAGCACUUUAAGUUGGGAGGCGGUACCAACAGAGUAAGCAACGGCUAACUUCGUGCCAGCAGCCGCGGUAAUAA
RNAcentral lists this ribosomal RNA (407 nucleotides) under uncultured bacterium. Its description in RNAcentral is "partial 16S ribosomal RNA". It matches the Rfam family "Bacterial small subunit ribosomal RNA", at positions 30 to 526 of the family's 1533-position model. The record is from RNAcentral.